CCUACGGGAGGCAGCAGUGGGGAAUAUUGGACAAUGGGCGAAAGCCUGAUCCAGCAAUGCCGCGUGAGUGAUGAAGGCCUUAGGGUUGUAAAGCUCUUUUACCAGGGAUGAUAAUGACAGUACCUGGAGAAUAAGCUCCGGCUAACUCCGUGCCAGCAGCCGCGGUAAUACGGAGGGAGCUAGCGUUGUUCGGAAUUACUGGGCGUAAAGCGUACGUAGGCGGUUAUUCAAGUCAGAGGUGAAAGCCUGGAGCUCAACUCCAGAACUGCCUUUGAAACUAGAUAGCUAGAAUCUUGGAGAGGUGAGUGGAAUUCCGAGUGUAGAGGUGAAAUUCGUAGAUAUUCGGAAGAACACCAGUGGCGAAGGCGACUCACUGGACAAGUAUUGACGCUGAGGUACGAAAGCGUGGGGAGCAAACAGGAUUAGAUACCCUGGUAGCCCACGCCGUAAACGAUGAUAACUAGCUGUUCGGGCUCUACGAGCUUGUAGUGGNGCAGCUACGACAUUAAGUUAGUCCGUCCGUCGGGUAGGUACGGUCGGCGAAGAAGUUAAACGUUAACGUAAAGUUAAGUUAAGUAGUUACGUUGUAGAGNGCGACGACGACGACGACGGAGGAGGAG
RNAcentral lists this ribosomal RNA (620 nucleotides) under uncultured bacterium. RNAcentral's name for it is "bacterial SSU rRNA". The stretch from base 1 to 520 matches the Rfam family "Bacterial small subunit ribosomal RNA", at positions 338 to 873 of the family's 1533-position model. The record is from RNAcentral.